Small nucleolar RNA from Lactuca sativa (garden lettuce), 107 nucleotides. RefSeq annotates it as small nucleolar RNA Z103. Lineage: Eukaryota; Viridiplantae; Streptophyta; Magnoliopsida; Asterales; Asteraceae. The record is from RefSeq and is a predicted model, not a curated record.
AUGGAAUUGAUGAUUAUUUCCCCAGAUGAUCGAAUUUGAUUAUACUGUGCGCUAUUUAAACAUUCUUCUAAAUUUUUAGGAGAAUCCAAGCCAGAAAUCUGAUCCAU